UACGGGGGGAGCAAGCGUUGUUCGGAUUUACUGGGCGUAAAGGGCGCGUAGGCGGCGCCGCAAGUCGGUUGUGAAAUCUCCGGGCUUAACCCGGAAAGGUCAACCGAUACUGCGGGGCUAGAGUGCAGAAGGGGCAACUGGAAUUCUCGGUGUAGCGGUGAAAUGCGUAGAUAUCGAGAGGAACACCUGCGGCGAAGGCGGGUUGCUGGGCUGACACUGACGCUGAGGCGCGAAAGCUAGGGGAGCGAACGGG
Molecule: ribosomal RNA, 253 nt
Filed under: uncultured bacterium
Lineage: Bacteria
Description: partial 16S ribosomal RNA
Rfam family: Bacterial small subunit ribosomal RNA
Source: RNAcentral